This 61-nucleotide transfer RNA is filed under the name Mesembrinella sp. ACMJ-2016. Its description in RNAcentral is "tRNA-Ser". The record is from RNAcentral. Lineage: Eukaryota; Metazoa; Arthropoda; Insecta; Diptera; Calliphoridae.
ACGAUCAAGUAAAAGCUGCUAACUUUUUUCUUUUAAUGGUUAAAUUCCAUUUAUACUUCUU